CCCUUAGAUGUCCUGGGCUGCACGCGCGCUACACUGAUGUGUCCAGUAAGCACCUAACCUCUUCCGAAAGGAACGGGUAACCUUUGCAAAGCACAUCGUGAUGGGGAUAGAUUAUUGCAAUUAUUAGUCUUGAACGAGGAAUUCCUAGUAAGCACAAGUCAUCAGCUUGUGUUGAUUACGUCCCUGCCCUUUGUACACACCGCCCGUCGCUCCUACCGAUUGAAUGUUCCGGUGAGCUCUUCGGACUGCGCGGUCUGCAGUUUCUGCGUUCCGUGCGGAAAGUUGCGCCAACCUUAACAUUUAGAGGAAGGAGAAGUCGUAACA
RNAcentral lists this ribosomal RNA (324 nucleotides) under uncultured eukaryote. RNAcentral's name for it is "partial 18S ribosomal RNA". It matches the Rfam family "Eukaryotic small subunit ribosomal RNA", at positions 1470 to 1796 of the family's 1831-position model. The record is from RNAcentral.